Sorex araneus (European shrew) is the source of this 127-nucleotide small nucleolar RNA. RefSeq annotates it as small nucleolar RNA SNORA40. The transcript has a single exon. The record is from RefSeq and is a predicted model, not a curated record. NCBI's taxonomy places the organism in Eukaryota, Metazoa, Chordata, Mammalia, Eulipotyphla, Soricidae.
GUUAUUUUUUGUGUCUGUUUAAUGAGUGGAUGAACACUUUGAAUCAGGUAAAAAAACUAAAUCCUCUUCUGAAGCCCAUAGCUCAUUCUUCAAUAUGAGCAUUAAUAUAUAUAUAAGAAGGAACAUU